UAGGGAAUCUUCGGCAAUGGGGGGAACCCUGACCGAGCAACGCCGCGUGAGUGAAGAAGGUUUUCGGAUCGUAAAGCUCUGUUGUUAAGGAAGAACGAGUGUGAGAAUGGAAAGUUCAUGCUGUUACGGUACUUAACCAGAAAGGGACGGCUAACUACGUGCCAGCAGCCGCGGUAAUACGUAGGUCCCGAGCGUUGUCCGGAUUUAUUGGGCGUAAAGCGAGCCCAGGCGGUUAGAAAAGUCUGAAGUGAAAGGCAGUGGCUCAACCAUUGUAGGCUUUGGAAACUGUUUAACGUGAGUGCAGAAGGGGAGAGUGGAAUUCCAUGUGUAGCGGUGAAAUGCGUAGAUAUAUGGAGGAACACCGGUGGCGAAAGCGGCUCUCUGGUCUGUAACUGACGCUGAGGCUCGAAAGCGUGGGGAGCGAACAGG
RNAcentral lists this ribosomal RNA (429 nucleotides) under Bacteroidota bacterium. RNAcentral describes it as "Bacteroidetes bacterium partial 16S ribosomal RNA". It matches the Rfam family "Bacterial small subunit ribosomal RNA", at positions 355 to 776 of the family's 1533-position model. The record is from RNAcentral. Lineage: Bacteria; Pseudomonadati; Bacteroidota.